Molecule: ribosomal RNA, 241 nt
Filed under: uncultured bacterium
Lineage: Bacteria
Description: partial 16S ribosomal RNA
Rfam family: Bacterial small subunit ribosomal RNA
Source: RNAcentral
GUGCGUAACACGUGGGUACUCUUGGAGCCCGGAAUAACUCCCCGAAAGGGGUGCUAAUACCGGAUAAGACCACGAGGGCUUCGGCUCUCGCGGGAAAAGGCGGCCUCUGUACACAAGCUGUCACUCCAAGAUGAGCCCGCGGCCCAUCAGCUAGUUGGCGGGGUAACGGCCCACCAAGGCUACGACGGGUAGCUGGUCUGAGAGGACGAUCAGCCACACUGGAACUGAGACACGGUCCAGA